This 292-nucleotide long non-coding RNA is filed under the name Ananas comosus (pineapple). RNAcentral describes it as "long non-coding RNA (ACOM_LNC011881)". The record is from RNAcentral. Lineage: Eukaryota; Viridiplantae; Streptophyta; Magnoliopsida; Poales; Bromeliaceae.
AUAAUAGUUCUCACCCCCGUGUUGUUUUUGGGGAUACAGGUUCACACGUGAGCGGCGCAAUGGCGCGAGACAAGGGCGUAGUUUCGUAGAUAGCGCCCUGCCCCAGAGGCCAGAUAUAGCAGUACCCUGAGGUGCUCUAGCUUAGGAGUUUAAAAGACAAUGAAUCAAAGUUGUAAUAAAUUGUAAUAUCUAGAUUGUAAUUUGGAAGUUGAAUGUAAAAGAAAAUUGUGAUGAAAGAAUGUAUCUAGUGUGAAUGCUCGUAAUAGCAAGUAGUUUUAUAUUUUUGAUACUU